GACGAACGCUGGCGGCGUGCUUAACACAUGCAAGUCGAACGGAAAGGCCCUGCUUGCAGGGUACUCGAGUGGCGAACGGGUGAGUAACACGUGGGUGAUCUGCCCUGCACUUCGGGAUAAGCUUGGGAAACUGGGUCUAAUACCGGAUAGGAACCAUCUUUAGUGUGGUGGUUGGAAAGUUUUUUCGGUGUAGGAUGAGCUCGCGGCCUAUCAGCUUGUUGGUGGGGUAAUGGCCUACCAAGGCGGCGACGGGUAGCCGGCCUGAGAGGGUGUACGGCCACAUUGGGACUGAGGUACGGCCCAGACUCCUACGGGAGGCAGCAGUGGGGAAUAUUGCACAAUGGGCGCAAGCCUGAUGCAGCGACGCCGCGUGGGGGAUGAAGGCCUUCGGGUUGUAAACUCCUUUCGCUAGGGACGAAGCUUUUUGUGACGGUACCUAGAUAAGAAGCACCGGCUAACUACGUG
This 465-nucleotide ribosomal RNA is filed under the name uncultured bacterium. Its description in RNAcentral is "partial 16S ribosomal RNA". It matches the Rfam family "Bacterial small subunit ribosomal RNA", at positions 28 to 507 of the family's 1533-position model. The record is from RNAcentral.